RNAcentral lists this small RNA (59 nucleotides) under Lactococcus lactis. Its description in RNAcentral is "Streptococcus sRNA SpF59 (ldcC RNA)". It matches the Rfam family "Streptococcus sRNA SpF59 (ldcC RNA)". The record is from RNAcentral. RNAcentral also lists the same sequence under 1 other name. Lineage: Bacteria; Bacillati; Bacillota; Bacilli; Lactobacillales; Streptococcaceae.
UGACGAUUUGUCAGUAAAAAUUGAGCCAAGGCCAGACGGACAGCCGGGUCAAAAGCCGA